This is a long non-coding RNA of Helianthus annuus (common sunflower), 317 nucleotides long. RefSeq lists it as uncharacterized. The transcript has 3 exons. Lineage: Eukaryota; Viridiplantae; Streptophyta; Magnoliopsida; Asterales; Asteraceae. The record is from RefSeq and is a predicted model, not a curated record.
UUUAACUCCAUUUGUUCAUCCUUCUUCUCCUUCAAGCUCUGUAAUCCAUCAACCUCUGCAAUCGAAUCGAUUCAACCAUCAGGUGCGUUUUGGUUCCGAUAAUCGACACCGCCACAUUAGAUAUUCUGCUUUUGUGCUCUACGACUAUCUUCAAGUUAUCGAAUUUGAUGUUGUCUUGGGGCUGUUUUGUGUUGAUUUGGUGCUUUUUGGGGCUGCAGUUGCACUUUAAAUUGAUAGGGUUCUGGUACUCGGAGGAACCAAUUAAUGGCAGCUCAAUCCUCAUUCAGCAUUCAAAGGCUCAUUUUAUGGACCUAUGG